Telopea speciosissima is the source of this 310-nucleotide long non-coding RNA. RefSeq lists it as uncharacterized. The transcript has 3 exons. The record is from RefSeq and is a predicted model, not a curated record. Lineage: Eukaryota; Viridiplantae; Streptophyta; Magnoliopsida; Proteales; Proteaceae.
GUUUAAGGACUAUAGUUUGGGAGGCUAUUCGAAUUGGUUGCAGAACAGGGUUAACAACACCAAGAAUUGGAACAACAUCAAGAGUUGCUUGAUGGAUAGCAAGGUUUGCCAAAGUCUUGUUAACCAAACUGGGAAUGAGAACGUACAACAGUUCUAUAAAACGAACUUGUCUCCAAUUCAGGUAUAAAAUAGUUACUCGUUACCCAAUUCGUCUCAUUCUGGAGUUCUGACUUCUGAGAGUUUUUUGUUUCAUUAAUUUCCCCUUUUUCUUUACUUUCGUUUAGUUUAUGCCAUAUUUUCUCUUAUUUUG